CCUACGGGUGGCAGCAGUGGGGAAUAUUGCACAAUGGCGGAAACCCUGAUGCAGCGACGCCGCGUGAGUGAAGAAGUAUCUCGGUACGUAAAGCUCUAUCAGCAGGGAAGAAAAUGACGGUACCUGACUAAGAAGCCCCGGCUAACUACGUGCCAGCAGCCGCGGUAAUACGUAGGGGGCGAGCGUUAUCCGGAUUUACUGGGUGUAAAGGGGGCGUAGACGGCAGCACAAGUCUGGAGUGAAAUCCCGGGGCCUAACCCCGGAACUGCUUUGGAAACUGUGCGGCUGGAGUGCAGGAGGGGUAAGCGGAAUGCCUGGUGUAGCGGUGAAAUGCGUAGAUAUUAGGAGGAACACCGGUGGCGAAGGCGGCUUACUGGACUGUAACUGACGUUGAGGCUCGAAAGCGUGGGGAGCAAACAGGAUUAGAUACCCCAGUAGUC
RNAcentral lists this ribosomal RNA (440 nucleotides) under uncultured bacterium. Its description in RNAcentral is "partial 16S ribosomal RNA". It matches the Rfam family "Bacterial small subunit ribosomal RNA", at positions 338 to 795 of the family's 1533-position model. The record is from RNAcentral.